Brassica rapa (field mustard) is the source of this 1391-nucleotide long non-coding RNA. RefSeq lists it as uncharacterized. Lineage: Eukaryota; Viridiplantae; Streptophyta; Magnoliopsida; Brassicales; Brassicaceae. The record is from RefSeq and is a predicted model, not a curated record.
AAUUAAACUAGUAUUUUGUUGGGAACUUAUUCAUUUCAGUUGAAUUUCUUUGGUUAGUGUGCUACAAUUGAUUAUUGUAAUCUUUCCUCAUCAUAUGAAAAACUUUUAAGAUAAAACGCCGUCUUAACCAGUUGUUCAGUAUUAGUUGUUAAUAUAUUUCUACCUAGUUGAAUUCCUUUGGUUAGAAAUUUCUAACCAGAUGAACAUACUCUUUCUAACCAGUUGAACCCAUUCUUUCUAAAUCGAGAUCGAUUUCGUCUCUGAUGAUGAACCGAAGAAACUUAUUAGAGAUGGACUACGAAAAUCCACUUAGGGCAUCUCCAACUCCACUCUAUUUUUUAUUCUAAAAUAUUUCAAGUAAAAAUGCUACCAUAGUACUUUAUUUUUUCAUUCUAUAAUAAAGUUGAAAAAUUGGUUUACUAUCUAAAUAUAGAGUAACUUAUUAUUUAUUUCUUAUCACUCUAUUUUCUACUCUAAAAUAAACUAUCAUUGUAGUAAAUUCAAAUUCUAUUAUAAAAUUAUUCUAUUUUAGAGUAAAAAAUAGAGUAAGCCAUUGAAGAUUUAGGGUAAGAAAUAGAGUAAGCUGAGAUGCUCUUAUGUUAAAAACAAUAAACCAUUUAAACCAAUCCCAAAAUUUGUCAGAAGCUCUCUAUGUAACGCCUGCGAAGAGUCGAAUCAAAACUCUGACUCUCCUUAUAGACCCAAGAAGCGUCACAUUUUGUCCCCAAAUCUCAUUCUUUCGUACUUUGAAAAAACGCUAAGUGAAAGAAUCACGCUCACUGUUGGACUACAUGACUUAGAGAGACGUAGUGGCUUGGACCGCAUUGAUCAAAAGGUGCGGAUAAAAAGCUAUUUCCACAAGAUGGAAGAUAGAAAUUUGAUCACACGGAUCACUUUGAUAUCGGAACCUGAGCGAUCAGACAGCAGCAAAGCUCUGCUUCUGUUUCAGAGGUUUAAAUCACAAGGCUCUGUGCCAAGUUAUUACACUUUCACAAGCUUAGUGUAGCUGCUUUCUCUAAGAGGGUUUAAUAAGAACAUUGAGUUAGCUAAUGCAUUAAUCUACAUGUAUGCUAAUGCAAUCUCUUCGAAAUUGCAGAGAAGAGGAAUCUUGUAUCUUAGACUUCAAUGAUGAUUGGUAUCACAAGGUAAGGAGUAGAUGCUGUUGGGCUUUUCGAUGAAACGGUUGGUUACAGUAACAGACCAGACCGGAUUGUUUCCAUGGUGGUUCUGAGCGGUGCCGCCAUGCCAGUCUAAUGGAGAAAGGAGUGAAGUUAUCUGUUAUCAGACAAUUUUGAUGAUCAAGAAGCCGGAACUUGAAAGUGAUACACAAAGAUGAAAAUUUGGUUUGUGUUUUAAGUUACCCGUUAUAUGAUUCUCCACCGUUCUAUUUU